RNAcentral lists this ribosomal RNA (506 nucleotides) under uncultured bacterium. RNAcentral's name for it is "partial 16S ribosomal RNA". It matches the Rfam family "Bacterial small subunit ribosomal RNA", at positions 29 to 523 of the family's 1533-position model. The record is from RNAcentral.
AUUGAACGCUGGCGGCAGGCCUAACACAUGCAAGUCGGACGGUAGCACAGGGGAGCUUGCUCCUCGGGUGACGAGUGGCGGACGGGUGAGUAAUGUCUGGGGAUCUGCCCGAUAGAGGGGGAUAACCACUGGAAACGGUGGCUAAUACCGCAUAAUGUCGCAAGACCAAAGAGGGGGACCUUCGGGCCUCUCACUAUCGGAUGAACCCAGAUGGGAUUAGCUAGUAGGCGGGGUAACGGCCCACCUAGGCGACGAUCCCUAGCUGGUCUGAGAGGAUGACCAGCCACACUGGAACUGAGACACGGUCCAGACUCCUACGGGAGGCAGCAGUGGGGAAUAUUGCACAAUGGGCGCAAGCCUGAUGCAGCCACGCCGCGUGUAUGAAGAAGGCCUUCGGGUUGUAAAGUACUUUCAGCGGGGAGGAAGGCGAUGUGGUUAAUAACCGCGUCGAUUGACGUUACCCGCAGAAGAAGCACCGGCUAACUCCGUGCCAGCAGCCGCGGUAA